Molecule: long non-coding RNA, 436 nt
Organism: Eurytemora carolleeae
Lineage: Eukaryota; Metazoa; Arthropoda; Copepoda; Calanoida; Temoridae
Exons: 3
Source: RefSeq, a predicted model, not a curated record
CUAAAUUAAUUCUAUUUAGAGUAUUCGAAAAUUUAAUUGAAAUAUUUAUACUUGGUUACUUAUGUUGAUAGUUGUGUAUGACUAUGGAUUGUUGGUUUUGAUUUUUGGUUACUCAUUUCAGAGUGAUGUUAAAAUGUUUAAGUGGUUCUGAUUUGAUGAUUAAUUAUAUCCCAUAGUUUGUAAACAACAGUGUUGGGCUGCUGGUUGUGGUUUAAAGAAAAGGUUACCUGGAGCAGAGGGACAGUUAGGGCUUGAAACCUGUAGCAGGAGGGUAGGGGUCAGAGACACUGUACGGCCAACCUGAUGUACAUAUAUGUACAGUACAAGGUUUACCUGGAGGUGCUGAUGAUUCAGAGGCUGGUGAAACCGUUGUGCAUUUGUCGCUGAUCAGGUUGGACAGCCUCUUGUCAAAUCCACUGUGCAGUGUUUGAGGUAA